UCUUGUAUAAAAAGCCCUGUGAUAAGGAUAAUCACAAAUGUGUAAAAUUAGCUUUUCUGUUGUUUUGUUCUAAUUUCCUGUGUUAUGUAAUUUAAAAGCCUUUUCUGGAUUGUAAAAUAUGGUUUUGGUAAUUGAAACGUAAACUAGCAAUGACAUUUGACUUUCUCUGUCAAGAUUAUUUAUUUUUAUUUAUAGUGUUGUUUUAACAUGUUUCUGUAUUUUCCAUGUUUAUGAUAUUCUGGAAUGACUAAAGAUCAGCACAGAGUUCUUGUGGAUGGACCUCAGCAAGUCCUUCUGCAGUUGUAUCCAUCAAAGUGCUAUGCAGACACAAUGGGAAUGACUGUCACAUUGUAGAGCUUAGACAAAUUUACACAGGUUCUCAAGAGGAAUUCAUCAAGGACAAGUCUGUUAGUAUUAUAGUUGUUGGGUGACCAAAAUGAGCAGUGAUGUGGUCCCGGUAAUAGAAGAAGAAAUCUUGUUUAUCUGCAGUUGUAACACCCAUCUCAUGAAUUGAGGUGACAUGGGCAUCUUGAUUGUGACUGAGGAGGAGGAAUGGGAGGUGCUUCCAAAAUAAACCAAUGACGUUGCUAUCAUUUUGGAAGACCGUCUUGUCGCCAUCGAUAUCUGUGACGUCCCGAAAGCAUUUGUGCUCCUGAUGGGUCGUCUUUACAUCAUUAACAAAACACAGUACAGUUCUGAUGUUCUCAAAACUUUGCAUGAACAUUGGUGGGAGUAACUGUUCUUCACGUGUUUACGGGCUACGAAACAUGCUACUCUGCAA
Onychostoma macrolepis is the source of this 781-nucleotide long non-coding RNA. RefSeq lists it as uncharacterized. Lineage: Eukaryota; Metazoa; Chordata; Actinopteri; Cypriniformes; Cyprinidae. The record is from RefSeq and is a predicted model, not a curated record. The transcript has 3 exons.